Molecule: non-coding RNA, 480 nt
Organism: Notechis scutatus (mainland tiger snake)
Lineage: Eukaryota; Metazoa; Chordata; Lepidosauria; Squamata; Elapidae
Source: the annotation of a RefSeq genome assembly
AUGAUAUCUUGGCUCUACUUGACAUUUUUAGUAGCAGUUCUCAGAGGUGCCCAAUCUGAAGUUCAGUUGACUGAGUCUGGUGGGGAUGUGAGGAGACCUGGAGAGUCCCUUCAUCUCAUCUGUCAAGCAGCUGGCUUCACCUUCAGUGAUUACAGCAUGCAUUGGAUGAGACAGGCUCGUGGGAAAGGGCUGGUAUGGGUGGCACAUAUACGCUAUGAUUCUACAUCUUUUCACUAUUCUGAUGAAGUCAAGAGUCGCUUCACCAUAUCCAAGGACAAUGCCAAAGACCAGAUGCAUCUGCAAAUGAACAGCCUAAAGCAUGAAGACACAGCUGUCUAUUACUGUGUAAGAGCCCGUUCUCAACCGGGGUGGUGGUGGUGGGGGCAUUGUCAGGGUACAAUAUCAUAUAUCUCCAGUCUGCAACAUAGUCCUGUUCCAAGAAGAAUCCACACCCAAUUGCACCAUGCAGGACACAGAUAA